RNAcentral lists this long non-coding RNA (806 nucleotides) under Phasianus colchicus (ring-necked pheasant). RNAcentral describes it as "lncRNA (ENSPCLG00000001087.1)". Lineage: Eukaryota; Metazoa; Chordata; Aves; Galliformes; Phasianidae. The record is from RNAcentral.
AAACUUCUGAGUUCUGACACUUUAUAUGCAAACAUUUAGUUGAGGCCAAGUUGUUGGAAGAGAAAGUUAAUUCUUAGGAAUUAAAGUGCUGACAGAUACUAAGCAACAAAACUCCAAAACAAGGCUUCCAGCCAGAAAGAUGAUUUGCCGUCGUACCAUCCAAGAAUUACCCUUCUUUUCCUCUUAUAGUGUUUGGCAGGAGUGAGUUGAGCCCUCUGCUUUGAAAGAGGACCUAUUCUCCACAAACCCCAAACAAUGCAACUCCUGCAAGCUGACCACUCCCAUUUGAUUGCAAAAUAGAUGAAGUUGAGGAGGGUGAGCAGUGCUCUUUAUAAACCAGGGAGAUGACAUUCUCCAGCACAACUUCAGUGAAGAACUAAGCAUCCCAACAUCAUUAAAUCAAUCCGAAGUCUGAAAGUCUAAGAGCCAGACCUGCAGAAGACAGGGAGUGAAAUUCAAGGAGUUUAGGUGCUGAUGUUCCUGUGAUUAUUCUCCUAAGGCUUCCUCUGGUGGAAAAGGACAAGAGGAAAUAAGACACCAGGGAAGCUAAUGUGAGACAGCAGUGCCCAAAACACUUUAAAGGCGACUGAUUUGGCCAACGAGACAGGGUCUACUGCAGGUAGGAUUCACGGAUUGCCUUGGAUUUCAACUUGGAUUUUGCCUUUGGAUUUCAAACCUACAUCUUGCAUCUCCACUCCCUUCAUCACAGAGAAAAUCACUGUAGGGCUGCUGGUAACCAGAUGACAGCUGUGGAGGCUGCACAGGCAUGGGAUGACACCACUGGGAGAGCUGAGAGGUGUAAGUGG